RNAcentral lists this ribosomal RNA (255 nucleotides) under uncultured bacterium. RNAcentral's name for it is "partial 16S ribosomal RNA". It matches the Rfam family "Bacterial small subunit ribosomal RNA", at positions 1244 to 1500 of the family's 1533-position model. The record is from RNAcentral.
GGGAAGCGAAAUAGUGAUAUAGAGCAAAACCCUAAAAACGGUCUCAGUUCGGAUUGAAGGCUGAAAUUCGCCUUCAUGAAGCUGGAAUUGCUAGUAAUGGCAGGUCAGCAUACUGCCGUGAAUACGUUCCCGGGCCUUGUACACACCGCCCGUCACACCAUGAGAGUUGGAGAUACCCGAAGCCUAUGAGCUAACUUUUAGAGGCAGUAGUCGAAGGUAGAAUCAAUGAUUGGGGUGAAGUCGUAACAAGGUACC